Molecule: microRNA, 20 nt
Filed under: Bos taurus (domestic cattle)
Lineage: Eukaryota; Metazoa; Chordata; Mammalia; Artiodactyla; Bovidae
Description: bta-miR-2897
Source: miRBase by way of RNAcentral
GGUGGGAGGGUCCCACCGAG